AAAAAAAAAAAAUUUAUUUGCAUAUGUUAAAUUCAGUUAUUUCAGUUUUUUAACCUUAAAAACCAAACAAGUAGAUUUUACCCAAAUAAAAGCCAAAAAACCAAAUUGAAUGGGUUCGGUUUUUUUCAGUUGGAUCCAAACAGUGAACAACCCAACCAUAGAGUCUAAGGGUUUCAAGUUAAGUAGAAUAUGCACAGCAAUUUUAGCACUGUAAGAAGCAGUGAGUAAAUUUGGGUUACUUUGGAUGGUGUAGAGGUUUCUUAAAGCAUUCAUUGUUGAUACUUAGGCUCUCUUAUAUAAAGGGAUACUAGAAGUGAGAAAAAUGUCCACAAUAGAAUUAAAUCAGGAAGGGUGAAAUUGAGAAGUGCAAAACAAUUCCCAUCCAUUGCCAAAAAACCAUCUUAGUUGAAAGAAAGUUUUGCGGGAAUGUGAUUCAAGAUACUACGAUGUAUGGUGGUGAGUGUUAGGUGGUAAAAAAAACAGCAUAUGCAAAAGACUAUCGUAAUAAAAAAUAAGAAUGAUAAGAUGGAUGUGUGGAAAUACAGGAGUUGAUUGAAUUAGAAAUUAACGCAUUCAUAGGAAGAUGGAAGUAGUAUCCAUUAAGGAAAAGUUGAGAGAAAUUAGAUUGAGAUAGUUUGGAAACGGGCAUCAUAGGCCAUAAAACGUAUUAGUACAAAGUAAAAAGAGGAAUUCAUAACUCUAGAUCCUAAGUAACCCUAAAUCAAGUGGAAUAGAGGAAAAACAAUUCAUAUAGCCAACUUUAACUAAUCCAGGAUUAAGCUUUAGUAGAGCAUGUGUCUGUGAGAGGAGUUGACCUUUGAUUUAUAAAGAUGCAAUCCACACCUACAAAAGAGCUCCUUGAAGAACACAUCAGACCUAGUAAUGCUUCGAUCUUCUUUGUCCAAUAUAAAUCCACUUCGUGCAGUGUUUUCCUUCAGGACAAAAAAACCACCAGGUUUGAGGCCA
Molecule: unclassified non-coding RNA, 966 nt
Filed under: Hevea brasiliensis (rubber tree)
Lineage: Eukaryota; Viridiplantae; Streptophyta; Magnoliopsida; Malpighiales; Euphorbiaceae
Source: RNAcentral